This 440-nucleotide ribosomal RNA is filed under the name uncultured bacterium. RNAcentral's name for it is "partial 16S ribosomal RNA". It matches the Rfam family "Bacterial small subunit ribosomal RNA", at positions 338 to 795 of the family's 1533-position model. The record is from RNAcentral.
CCUACGGGAGGCAGCAGUGGGGAAUAUUGCACAAUGGGGGAAACCCUGAUGCAGCGACGCCGCGUGAGUGAAGAAGUCUCUCGGUACGUAAAGCUCUAUCAGCAGGGAAGAAAAUGACGGUACCUGACUAAGAAGCCCCGGCUAACUACGUUCCAGCAGCCGCGGUAAUACGGAGGGGGCAAGCGUUAUCCGGAUUUACUGGGUGUAAUGGGAGCGUAGACGGCAGCACAAGUCUGGAGUGAAAUCCCGGGGCUUAACCCCGGAACUGCUUUGGAAACUGUGGGGCUGGAGUGCAGGAGGGGUAAGCGGAAUGCAUAGUGUAGCGGUGAAAUGCUGAGAUAUUGCGCAGAACCCCGAUUGCGAAGGCAGCAUACCGGCGGCGAUCUGACGCUGAGGCACGAAAGCGUGGGUAUCGAACAGGAUUAGAUACCCUAGUAGUC